UGGGGAAUAUUGCACAAUGGGCGAAAGCCUGAUGCAGCAACGCCGCGUGAGUGAUGAAGGUCUUCGGAUUGUAAAGCUCUGUCUUUUGGGACGAUAAUGACGGUACCAAAGGAGGAAGCCACGGCUAACUACGUGCCAGCAGCCGCGGUAAUACGUAGGUGGCGAGCGUUGUCCGGAUUUACUGGGCGUAAAGGGUGCGUAGGCGGAUGUUUAAGUGAGAUGUGAAAUACCCGGGCUUAACUUGGGUGCUGCAUUUCAAACUGGAUAUCUAGAGUGCAGGAGAGGAGAAUGGAAUUCCUAGUGUAGCGGUGAAAUGCGUAGAGAUUAGGAAGAACACCAGUGGCGAAGGCGAUUCUCUGGACUGUAACUGACGCUGAGGCACGAAAGGCGUGGGUAGCAAACAGG
RNAcentral lists this ribosomal RNA (405 nucleotides) under uncultured bacterium. RNAcentral's name for it is "partial 16S ribosomal RNA". It matches the Rfam family "Bacterial small subunit ribosomal RNA", at positions 355 to 776 of the family's 1533-position model. The record is from RNAcentral.